GAUGAAGAACGCAGCGAAAUGCGAUAAGUAGUGUGAAUUGCAGAAUUCAGUGAAUCAUCGAAUCUUUGAACGCACAUUGCGCCCCUUGGUAUUCCAUGGGGCAUGCCUGUUCGAGCGUCAUUUGUACCUUCAAGCUCUGCUUGGUGUUGGGUGUUUGUCUCGCCUCUGCGUGUAGACUCGCCUCAAAACAAUUGGCAGCCGGCGUAUUGAUUUCGGAGCGCAGUACAUCUCGCGCUUUGCACUCAUAACGACGACCUCCAAAAGUACAUUUUUACACUCUUGACCUCGGAUCAGGUAGGGAUACCCGCUGAACUUAAGCAUAUCAAUAAGCGGAGGA
This 337-nucleotide unclassified non-coding RNA is filed under the name soil metagenome. RNAcentral describes it as "partial contains 5.8S ribosomal RNA, internal transcribed spacer 2, and large subunit ribosomal RNA". The stretch from base 1 to 120 matches the Rfam family "5.8S ribosomal RNA", at positions 35 to 154 of the family's 154-position model. The record is from RNAcentral.